AACGAACGCUGGCGGCGUGCCUAACACAUGCAAGUCGAACGAGACCUUCGGGUCUAGUGGCGCACGGGGGCGUGACGCGUGGGAAGCAGCCCGUAGGUUCGGAAUAACUCCCCGGAGGGGGUGCUAAUACAGGGAAAUGUCUUCCGGCCAGAGAUUUAUUGCCUUUGGAUGGGCCCGCGUUAGCUUAGAUGGUUGGUAGAGUAAAAGCCUACCAAGGCGACGAUCCAUAGCUGGUGUGAGAGGAUGAUCAGGGCCACUGGGACUGAGACACGGCCCAGACUCCUGCCGGAGGCAGCAGUGGGGAAUAUUCGACGCUGGGCGAGAGCCUGAUCCAGCCAUGCCGCGUGAGUGAUGAAGGCCUUAGGGUUGUAAAGCUCUGUUAACCGGGCUGAUAAUGACAGUACCGUGAGAAUAAGCUCCGGCUAACUCCGUG
Molecule: ribosomal RNA, 433 nt
Filed under: uncultured bacterium
Lineage: Bacteria
Description: partial 16S ribosomal RNA
Rfam family: Bacterial small subunit ribosomal RNA
Source: RNAcentral